AACGAACGCUGGCGGCAGGCUUAACACAUGCAAGUCGAACGGGCGUAGCAAUACGUCAGUGGCGGACGGGUGAGUAACACGUGGGAAUAUGCCUUUCGGUUCGGAACAACUCGGGGAAGGCCCGUGCUAAUUCCGGAUACGCCCUUACGGGGAAAGAUUUAUCGCCGAAGAUUAGCCCGCGUUGGAUUAGCUAGUUGGUGAGGUAAAGGCUCACCAAGGCGACGAUCCAUAGCUGGUUUGAGAGAACGACCAGCCACACUGGGACUGAGACACGGCCCAGACUCCUACGGGAGGGCAGCAGUGGGGAAUCUUGGACAAUGGGCGCAAGCCUGAUCCAGCCAUGCCGCGUGAGUGAUGAAGGCC
Molecule: ribosomal RNA, 363 nt
Filed under: uncultured bacterium
Lineage: Bacteria
Description: bacterial SSU rRNA
Rfam family: Bacterial small subunit ribosomal RNA
Source: RNAcentral